This 235-nucleotide unclassified non-coding RNA is filed under the name fungal sp. Its description in RNAcentral is "partial contains 5.8S ribosomal RNA, internal transcribed spacer 2, and large subunit ribosomal RNA". The record is from RNAcentral. Lineage: Eukaryota; Fungi.
CGCACAUUGCGCCCCUUGGUAUUCCGGGGGGCAUGCCCGUUCGAGCGUCAUUACACCACUCCAGCCCCGCUGGGUGUUGGGCCCCGGGGGUGACCCGGGCCCGAAAGUCUUCGGCCGGACCGUCCGCACCGCAGCGUCGUGUAUUCUCAUCGCUGACGGGGGCGACGGUGCGUGUCCGUCAAAUUUUUUUUCACAGGUUGACCUCGGAUCGGGUAGGGAUACCCGCUGAACUUAA